RNAcentral lists this ribosomal RNA (497 nucleotides) under uncultured bacterium. RNAcentral's name for it is "partial 16S ribosomal RNA". It matches the Rfam family "Bacterial small subunit ribosomal RNA", at positions 28 to 507 of the family's 1533-position model. The record is from RNAcentral.
GAUGAACGCUGGCGGCGUGCCUAAUACAUGCAAGUCGAGCGAACAGACGAGGAGCUUGCUCCUCUGACGUUAGCGGCGGACGGGUGAGUAACACGUGGAUAACGUACCUAUAUGACGGGGAUAACUUCGGGAAACCGGCGCUAAUACCGGAGAAUAUAUUGCACCGCGUGGUUCGAUAGUGAAAGACGGUUUUGCUGUCACUUAUAGAUGGUUCCGCGCCGCAUUAGCUAGUUGGUAAGGUAACGGCUUACCAAGGCAACGAGGCGUAGCCGACCUGAGAGGGUGAUCGGCCACACUGGAACUGAGACGCGGUCCAGGCGCCUACGGGAGGCAGCAGUAGGGAAUCGUCCGCAAUGGGCGAAAGCCUGACGGAGCAACGCCGCGUGAGUGAUGAAGGUCUUCGGAUCGUAAAACUCUGUUAUGAGGGAAGAACAAAUGUGUAAGUAACUAUGCACGUCUUGACGGUACCUAAUAAGAAAGCAACGGCUAACUACGUG